RNA transcript from Prunus avium (sweet cherry), 1665 nucleotides. RefSeq lists it as uncharacterized. The record is from RefSeq and is a predicted model, not a curated record. NCBI's taxonomy places the organism in Eukaryota, Viridiplantae, Streptophyta, Magnoliopsida, Rosales, Rosaceae.
AAAAAAAUGAAGUAAUAUUAUAGCGCAAGGCAGGCAGGCAGGCAGGCAGAGAAGGCAAGCGAUUCUAGCCAGGCAACCCAGUAGUUGACUUGAACAUAUAAAGGAUGCAUAAUUAGCAAAAACAAGGAGGGAGGAAGGCUAGCCAAUCCAGAUUCCAGAUUCCAGAUUCCAGUUCAUAAAUCAUAAUUCUAGGUGAGACAUCGACCACAAGUAAGUAAGAAUGAGUAAAUCACCGGUAGGCGGCGGAGGAGGAGGAGGAGUCUUCCAUGACCCUGAAGUUGGCGGCAACGACAAGGCCAAUAUUAUUAUCAAUAAUACAACUAGUAGUAUUGAUCAGAAUAUGAAUCCAAUGAUAUCCAGCUGCGGGAUUGGGAGUGGCAGUGGAUUGGUGACGAAGAAGAAGAUGAAUAUUGUGAGGAUGACACUGCUGUUUGUGGGGAUGACUGUGGCUUGCUUUAUUUUCUACAAUUCUGUCUUUCCUUCCAGAUUUCUCCCCAUGUCCUUAUAUGACUACACCGGAACCACAUCUUCUCAGGGCAACGACCAUGUAUUGGAUGCGGUUCUGCAAAAUGCAUCCAUGAAGGACAGAACCAUUCUGGUAACUACAUUAAACGAUGCUUGGGCCGAACCCAAUUCCAUAUUUGAUCUGUUUCUGGAGAGCUUUCACAUCGGAAGCAACACGACAUGGCUGCUCAACCAUCUGGUAGUGAUCUGCUUGGACCAGAAAGCAUAUGCUCUUUGCUUAGCCUUGCACCCUCACUGUUACGAGCUCUACACUGAAGGUGCCAACUUCACCAGCGAGGCAUAUUUUAUGUCUUCCGACUACUUGCAAAUGAUGUGGAGACGGAUCCAAUUUAUGUCCAAAAUUCUCGACAAAGGCUACAACUUUGUCUUUACGGACACUGAUAUAAUGUGGCUCCGGAAUCCCUUCCCACAAUUCUAUACGGAUGCGGAUUUUCAAAUCGCAUGUGAUUUCUUCAAGGGUGAUUCUUACAGCAUAAAGAAUUUUCCCAACGGUGGAUUUACCUAUGUCAAGUCCAAUGAGCGCACAAUUUGGUUCUAUAAGUUUUGGUACUUCUCCAGAAAGGCGUAUCCAAAGAUGCAUGACCAGGACGUACUAAACAAGAUCAAAUCGGAUCCCUUGAUUUCCCGUAUUGGAUUGAAAAUGAGGUUCUUGGAUACCCAAUACUUCGGUGGCUUCUGUCAGCCCAGUGACGAUUUUAACAAAGUUUGUACCAUGCAUGCGAAUUGCUGUGUUGGUCUCGAUAACAAAGUCAAUGAUCUUAGAAUUUUGCUUCAAGUUUGGAGAAAGUUCAUGGCUUUGCCUCCCAACGCCACCACCACGGCACAUACUUCAUGGACCGUUCCACAAAAUUGCAGUACUUCCUUCCAACGCCUUGGAAAGCACUCGUGACAAGAGAAGGGAAUAUUGACCUUACGAUGUGUAGAGCUUUGUAACAUAUAAUUUACAGGUAGAAGAAAAGGAUUGUUUUGUCAAGUCCCAAUCCCAUCCAUGCCACCUAUGGAAAUGCCACCUUGCUCAUCAAUCAAUCAAUUACGCGAUUACAAAAUCAGUCAUUUUACAACUUUUUUGGUUUGUAUGUUUGUUUUAUUUUGUUUGGCGGAAAACAAUGAAAACAAACUAAUAUAUAAGGAUUUAUUCCA